UACCUGACUAGAGGAUAGCUCAGUCAGUAGAGCAUGAGACUCUUAAUCUCAGGGUCCUUGAUUUGAGCCCCACGUUGGGUAA
Molecule: transfer RNA, 82 nt
Filed under: Podarcis lilfordi (Lilford's wall lizard)
Lineage: Eukaryota; Metazoa; Chordata; Lepidosauria; Squamata; Lacertidae
Description: tRNA.Lys
Source: RNAcentral